UCCAGUCCUGACUCUUCUGUCUCUUGAGGUC
RNAcentral lists this non-coding RNA (31 nucleotides) under Homo sapiens (human). Lineage: Eukaryota; Metazoa; Chordata; Mammalia; Primates; Hominidae. The record is from RNAcentral.